UACGUAGGAGGCGAGCGUUGUCCGGAAUUACUGGGUGUAAAGCGCGUGUAGGCGGUGAGUUAAGUCUGUUGUGAAAGCGCCCGGCUCAACCGGGCAGAGUCAAUGGAAACUAGCGCACUGGAGGUCGGUAGAGGCGAGUGGAAUUCCCGGAGUAGUGGUGAAAUGCGUAGAGAUCGGGAGGAACACCAGUGGCGAAGGCGGCUCGCUGGGCCGGACCUGACGCUGAGACGCGAAGGCGUGGGGAGCGAACGGG
RNAcentral lists this ribosomal RNA (253 nucleotides) under uncultured bacterium. RNAcentral describes it as "partial 16S ribosomal RNA". It matches the Rfam family "Bacterial small subunit ribosomal RNA", at positions 524 to 776 of the family's 1533-position model. The record is from RNAcentral.